UACAGGCUUAACACAUGCAAGUCGAGGGGCAGCAUGGUCUUAGCUUGCUAAGGCUGAUGGCGACCGGCGCACGGGUGAGUAACACGUAUCCAACCUGCCGUCUACUCUUGGCCAGCCUUCUGAAAGGAAGAUUAAUCCAGGAUGGGAUCAUGAGUUCACAUGUCCGCAUGAUUAAAGGUAUUUUCCGGUAGACGAUGGGGAUGCGUUCCAUUAGAUAGUAGGCGGGGUAACGGCCCACCUAGUCAACGAUGGAUAGGGGUUCUGAGAGGAAGGUCCCCCACAUUGGAACUGAGACACGGUCCAAACUCCUACGGGAGGCAGCAGUGAGGAAUAUUGGUCAAUGGGCGAUGGCCUGAACCAGCCAAGUAGCGUGAAGGAUGACUGCCCUAUGGGUUGUAAACUUCUUUUAUAAAGGAAUAAAGUCGGGUAUGCAUACCCGUUUGCAUGUACUUUAUGAAUAAGGAUCGGCUAACUCCGUGCCAGCAGCCGCGGUAAUACGGAGGAUCCGAGCGUUAUCCGGAUUUAUUGGGUUUAAAGGGAGCGUAGAUGGAUGUUUAAGUCAGUUGUGAAAGUUUGCGGCUCAACCGUAAAAUUGCAGUUGAUACUGGAUGUCUUGAGUGCAGUUGAGGCAGGCGGAAUUCGUGGUGUAGCGGUGAAAUGCUUAGAUAUCACGAAGAACUCCGAUUGCGA
Molecule: ribosomal RNA, 690 nt
Filed under: uncultured Bacteroidales bacterium
Lineage: Bacteria; Pseudomonadati; Bacteroidota; Bacteroidia; Bacteroidales
Description: bacterial SSU rRNA
Rfam family: Bacterial small subunit ribosomal RNA
Source: RNAcentral